RNAcentral lists this ribosomal RNA (401 nucleotides) under uncultured bacterium. RNAcentral's name for it is "bacterial SSU rRNA". It matches the Rfam family "Bacterial small subunit ribosomal RNA", at positions 361 to 776 of the family's 1533-position model. The record is from RNAcentral.
AUAUUGGGCAAUGGGGGAAACCCUGACCCAGCAACGCCGCGUGAAGGACGAAGGCCUUCGGGUUGUAAACUUCUUUGAUCAGGGACGAAAGCAAUGACGGUACCUGAAGAACAAGCCACGGCUAACUACGUGCCAGCAGCCGCGGUAAUACGUAGGUGGCGAGCGUUAUCCGGAUUUACUGGGUGUAAAGGGCGUGUAGGCGGGUUUGCAAGUCGGGUGUGAAAGAUUCGGGCUUAACCCGGAGAGGUCAUCCGAAACUGCAGAUCUUGAGUGCUGGAGAGGAUAGUGGAAUUCCUGGUGUAGCGGUAAAAUGCGUAGAGAUCAGGAGGAACACCAGUGGCGAAGGCGGCUAUCUGGACAGUAACUGACGCUGAGGCGCGAAAGCGUGGGGAGCAAACAGG